GGGGAAUAUUGCGCAAUGGGGGAAACCCUGACGCAGCAACGCCGCGUGAAGGAAGAAGGCCUUCGGGUUGUAAACUUCUUUGAUUGGGGACGAAGAAAGUGACUGUACCCAAAAAACAAGCCACGGCUAACUACGUGCCAGCAGCCGCGGUAAUACGUAGGUGGCAAGCGUUGUCCGGAAUUACUGGGUGUAAAGGGCGUGUAGGCGGGUGACCAAGUCAGAUGUGAAAUUCCGGGGCUUAACUCCGGCGCUGCAUCUGAAACUGGACAUCUUGAGUGCUGGAGAGGAAAGCGGAAUUCCUAGUGUAGCGGUGAAAUGCGUAGAUAUUAGGAGGAACACCAGUGGCGAAGGCGGCUUUCUGGACAGUAACUGACGCUGAGGCGCGAAAGCGUGGGGAGCAAAC
Molecule: ribosomal RNA, 403 nt
Filed under: uncultured bacterium
Lineage: Bacteria
Description: bacterial SSU rRNA
Rfam family: Bacterial small subunit ribosomal RNA
Source: RNAcentral